Molecule: ribosomal RNA, 468 nt
Filed under: uncultured bacterium
Lineage: Bacteria
Description: partial 16S ribosomal RNA
Rfam family: Bacterial small subunit ribosomal RNA
Source: RNAcentral
GACGAACGUUGGCGGCGUGCUUAACACAUGCAAGUCGAACGGAAAGGCCCUGCUUUUGUGGGGUGCUCGAGUGGCGAACGGGUGAGUAACACGUGAGUAACCUGCCCUUGACUUUGGGAUAACUUCAGGAAACUGGGGCUAAUACCGGAUAGGAGCUCCUGCUGCAUGGUGGGGGUUGGAAAGUUUCGGCGGUUGGGGGUGGACUCGCGGCUUAUCAGCUUGUUGGUGGGGUAGUGGCUUACCAAGGCUUUGACGGGUAGCCGGCCUGAGAGGGUGACCGGCCACAUUGGGACUGAGAUACGGCCCAGACUCCUACGGGAGGCAGCAGUGGGGAAUAUUGCACAAUGGGCGGAAGCCUGAUGCAGCAACGCCGCGUGCGGGAUGACGGCCUUCGGGUUGUAAACCGCUUCCGCCUGUGACGAAGCGUGAGUGACGGUAAUGGGUAAAGAAGCACCGGCUAACUACGUG